Molecule: long non-coding RNA, 599 nt
Organism: Glycine soja
Lineage: Eukaryota; Viridiplantae; Streptophyta; Magnoliopsida; Fabales; Fabaceae
Exons: 2
Source: RefSeq, a predicted model, not a curated record
UAUGUGGGGUCACAUAGGUAGGGCAGGAGAGCUUACAUUGCCGAUUUCGUUUCAUUUGUGAAAAAGAGGAACCUGAGAGAGAGAAUCAGAGGAAGAAGAUGAUCUAUAGGAAGUGGAGUCUCCUUACCGGCCCGGUCGCCAUUCUCGGCGGCGUAGUCGUCGCCAUCGCCGCCGCAAACGUCAUCUUCGUCAAGAAUGAUCCUUUCCUCAAACCAGAGGAGAGGAAGUAUGAAAAUGAACCUGCUACCAAGUAGGAGAAAAGAGACAACAGAAGUUUGCGUUUUGAUGUCUUUUAAACCCUGAUUUAUGAGCUCUGUAUACUGUUUUGCAAGACAUGCUCUGGGUAGUUAAUAAGAUUGAGAUUCUGAAUGGAGUCUGGACUCUGGAGCACGGGCCCUUAGUUUAGAACUAACCUUCCAAUGUUCUAGAAAACUGGUUCAUAUUUCAGAGAUCCUUAUUUUUCUCUUCUGUACAAUGUCAACUGCAAAUGUUUAAUAUGGUUUCUAAUCUUCCUUUUCUUUCUUUUAUCCCUAUCAAUUUGCUGUUAAUGCUUGCCUUUUUGGAUUAUUAUGGCAAAAUUUACACCUUGUUGUGCUUAA